UGGCUCAGGAUGAACGCUAGCGGCAGGCUUAACACAUGCAAGUCGAGGGGCAUCGGGAGUAGCAAUACUUGCCGGCGACCGGCGCAAGGGUGCGUAACGCGUGAGCAACAUGCCCGUAUCAGGGGGAUAAUCCAUGGAAACGUGGUCUAAUACCCCAUAGUAAUUAUGUAAGGCAUCUUAUAUAAUUUAAAGCUUUGGUGGAUACGGAUUGGCUCGCGUGACAUUAGCUAGAUGGUAAGGUAACGGCUUACCAUGGCUACGAUGUCUAGGGGUCCUGAGAGGAAGGUCCCCCACACUGGAACUGAGACACGGUCCAGACUCCUACGGGAGGCAGCAGUGAGGAAUAUUGGACAAUGGAUGGAAAUCUGAUCCAGCCAUGCCGCGUGCAGGAAAGACGGCCCUAUGGGUUGUAAACUGCUUUUGUAUGGGAGCAAUAAGGGCUACGUGUAGUCCGAUGAGAGUACCAUACGAAUAAGCACCGGCUAACUCCGUGCCAGCCGCUGC
RNAcentral lists this ribosomal RNA (504 nucleotides) under uncultured bacterium. Its description in RNAcentral is "bacterial SSU rRNA". It matches the Rfam family "Bacterial small subunit ribosomal RNA", at positions 20 to 518 of the family's 1533-position model. The record is from RNAcentral.